This 480-nucleotide ribosomal RNA is filed under the name uncultured bacterium. Its description in RNAcentral is "bacterial SSU rRNA". It matches the Rfam family "Bacterial small subunit ribosomal RNA", at positions 903 to 1397 of the family's 1533-position model. The record is from RNAcentral.
AAAGGAAUUGACGGGGACCCGCACAAGCGGUGGAUCAUGUUCUUUAAUUCGAUGGUAAACGAUAAACCUUACCAGGGCUUGACAUCUGGAGAAUUCCGGUGAAAGCUGGAAGUGCCUUCGGGAACUUCAAGACAGGUGAUGCAUGGCCGUCGUCAGCUCGUGUCGUGAGAUGUUAGGUUAAGUCCUUCAACGAGCGCAACCCUUGUGAACAGUUGUAUUUUUCUGUUCAAACUGCUUCGGUAACGGAGAGGAAGGAGGGGACGAUGUCAGGUCAGUAUUUCCCUUACGCCCUGGGCUAGAAACGUGAUACAAUGGCAGGUACAAUGCGAGGCGAAGCCGCGAGGUGAAGCAAAUCGCAUCAAAGCUUGUCCCAGUUCGGAUUGCAGUCUGAAACUCGACUGCAUGAAGUCGGAAUCGCUAGUAAUCGCAGAUCAUCAUGCUGCGGUGAAUACGUUCCCGGGUCUUGUACACACCGCCCGU